GGUUGGUGUUCUUUUAAUUACAAUUUUGAAAAUAUACCUAAUGAAUAUCUUUGUCUUGUGAGUAAUGUAUGUAUUGUGUGCCUGUUUUCCAUAUAAGGAGGCUGGAAUAACAAUCCAUCGGCAUGGCGGUCCCACGGCUCGUAAGCGCCAGUAGGCAGUAGCGGUCGAUGCGGCGUCUACUCUUUAUUAUGUCUAUGGUGCAAACUAGAACAUUCAUUUUAGCGACUUGGUUCUUUCGUCAACUCUUGUUCAAAGUGUAUGAGCUAUAUGAUCUGAAUUGGAUAAUACAACAUGUGGAUUAUCACAUUGUUUGACUAGAAUUUGAUGAACUCCCGAAACAAACGACAAUCAAGGAUUUUUCUGACACCUACAUCUAUGGUGAUGACGUUUCCUGUAGGUUUGUUCCCGGAGGAGGAAGACUGUGGCAGCAGUUCACACCAGGAUGGAGCAAGCACAGUACUCCAAGGCACCAGAGAGGUACUCCCGCCACCAUGUAGAGGAUGGCUACAUAGUUUAUUUUUAAGGGCAAGAAAGCAGAUGUAGGGGGAAGUUUUAGCUCUGCACAUAAAGAACAUUUGGAGAAGAUCAAGUGGCUGGCUGACUGAAGAGAGGGUCGAGCUGAGGGCACAGCUGGCUCAAAAAUCAGCUUCUGAUAAACGUCUGACUGAAAAGAAUGUCAAGCCGAGGGCACAGCUGCCUCUACAAUCAGGAGCCAUAAGGAAGAAUCUUUCUAACCGAGAUGCCACUGACAAGGCUUUCCAGAACCAGGUCCCCAGGUACCAGAAAGGGGCAGCUGACCAUGCAGGUGGAAGAUGUUGCGGCGGUACAAGGGACCUGCCGUGAAUAUGAAUGACAUCUCCAGCACAACCAAUAUUGCUGCUAAGCUGCAUUACUGUAGCCUAUUUCAAAUUUUUUUUUUUUUUUUUUUUACUGCUGCUAUGUACAGUGUUAUAUAUAUGAUUGCAUUAUCCUCUUAAUAUAUUUAUAGCUCUGUGAAUGUUCUUAAUUCUGACUAGUUGUAGUGUUAUGCCACCAUUCAUAAGCUUAUAUCACUGAUGUAUCUGAUAUUCAAUAAUUAUUGAUUGCUGCUAGGUCAUACUUAUGUAUAUUACUGCCAUUCUAGGCCUAGCCCACAUUUUUAUUUCAAUUCAUUUGCACAUGUUUAUUUUGUACGCUUGCUGUAUAAUGCAUGUUUUUUUGUAUG
Molecule: long non-coding RNA, 1204 nt
Organism: Esox lucius (northern pike)
Lineage: Eukaryota; Metazoa; Chordata; Actinopteri; Esociformes; Esocidae
Source: Ensembl